GCCGAUGUAGCUCAGGGGCAGAGCACUUCCUUGGUAAGGAAGAGGUCAUGGGUUCAAUUCCCAUCAUCGGCUCGA
RNAcentral lists this transfer RNA (75 nucleotides) under Bacteroidia bacterium. RNAcentral describes it as "tRNA-Thr". It matches the Rfam family "tRNA". Rfam says of the family: Transfer RNA (tRNA) molecules are approximately 80 nucleotides in length. Their secondary structure includes four short double-helical elements and three loops (D, anti-codon, and T loops). Further hydrogen bonds mediate the characteristic L-shaped molecular structure. tRNAs have two regions of fundamental functional importance: the anti-codon, which is responsible for specific mRNA codon recognition, and the 3' end, to which the tRNAs corresponding amino acid is attached (by aminoacyl-tRNA synthetases). tRNAs cope with the degeneracy of the genetic code in two manners: having more than one tRNA (with a specific anti-codon) for a particular amino acid; and 'wobble' base-pairing, i.e. permitting non-standard base-pairing at the 3rd anti-codon position. The record is from RNAcentral. Lineage: Bacteria; Pseudomonadati; Bacteroidota; Bacteroidia.